This 529-nucleotide long non-coding RNA is filed under the name Brassica napus (rape). RNAcentral describes it as "long non-coding RNA (BNAP_LNC013515)". The record is from RNAcentral. Lineage: Eukaryota; Viridiplantae; Streptophyta; Magnoliopsida; Brassicales; Brassicaceae.
GUAGUUAAAUGAUGAAUGACCUAUCCGUGAUAUUACGUGAAUGAGAUCAAAACACAUGAAAAUAUUAUAUGGUGAUUACAUGAUUAGUAAACAAAUCUUUUGAGCCUCCAAAAAUUAACAUACAGUCUAUCAUACAUAAUAUGAUCCACAAACCGAGUGAGCGGACAUGGAAAACCCAUUAGUAAGCGGUCAAAGCAUUACAAGUGGUAUAAGAACCGAAACAAAAUGAGUAAAGGGUCUUAUAUGGGCUUACACUAACAUGGUUUACGUUCCUGAGACACAACGAAGAUGUUGCGUUAUGUAAGAAUGGUAAUUGUAACAUCUCAGCUUGUGCUAUAUGUGAAAUGGUUUAAUUGAAUUUAUUUGGCUAUCUAUGUCACGAGAGUCCAUUAAUCUUUCAGCCAUUUAUCCAGAGAAAAAUUUAAACUAAAUGUGUUUGAGAUUGAGUAAUCAAAUGAUCACUACAAGAAAACAUGAGAUUAACAACGGCGGUAUUCCUCGUGAGUUCGUCGUAAAAGAGGCUUUAUGA